GGUUAAGCGACUAAGCGUACACGGUGGAUGCCCUGGCAGUCAGAGGCGAUGAAGGACGUGCUAAUCUGCGAAAAGCGUCGGUAAGGUGAUAUGAACCGUUAUAGCCGGCGAUGUCCGAAUGGGGAAACCCAGUGCAAUUCGUUGCACUAUCGUUAACUGAAUACAUAGGUUAACGAGGCGAACCGGGGGAACUGAAACAUCUAAGUACCCCGAGGAAAAGAAAUCAACCGAGAUUCCCCCAGUAGCGGCGAGCGAACGGGGAGCAGCCCAGAGUCUGAAUCAGCUUGUGUGUUAGUGGAACGGUCUGGAAAGUCCGACGGUACAGGGUGAUAGUCCCGUACACCAAAAUGCACAGGUUGUGAACUCGAAGAGUAGGGCGGGACACGUGGUAUCCUGUCUGAAUAUGGGGGGACCAUCCUCCAAGGCUAAAUACUCCUGACUGACCGAUAGUGAACCAGUACCGUGAGGGAAAGGCGAAAAGAACCCCGGCGAGGGGAGUGAAAAAGAACCUGAAACCGUGUACGUACAAGCAGUGGGAGCACCUUCGGGUGUGACUGCGUACCUUUUGUAUAAUGGGUCAGCGACUUAUAUUCUGUAGCAAGGUUAACCGUAUAGGGGAGCCGCAGGGAAACCGAGUCUUAACUGGGCGUUAAGUUGCAGGGUAUAGACCCGAAACCCGGUGAUCUAGCCAUGGGCAGGUUGAAGGUUGGGUAACACUAACUGGAGGACCGAACCGACUAAUGUUGAAAAAUUAGCGGAUGACUUGUGGCUGGGGGUGAAAGGCCAAUCAAACCGGGAGAUAGCUGGUUCUCCCCGAAAGCUAUUUAGGUAGCGCCUCGUGAACUCAUCUUCGGGGGUAGAGCACUGUUUCGGCUAGGGGGUCAUCCCGACUUACCAACCCGAUGCAAACUACGAAUACCGAAGAAUGUUAUCACGGGAGACACACGGCGGGUGCUAACGUCCGUCGUGAAGAGGGAAACAACCCAGACCGCCAGCUAAGGUCCCAAAGUCAUGGUUAAGUGGGAAACGAUGUGGGAAGGCACAGACAGCCAGGAUGUUGGCUUAGAAGCAGCCAUCAUUUAAAGAAAGCGUAAUAGCUCACUGGUCGAGUCGGCCUGCGCGGAAGAUGUAACGGGGCUAAACCAUGCACCGAAGCUGCGGCAGCGACACUAUGUGUUGUUGGGUAGGGGAGCGUUCUGUAAGCCUGCGAAGGUGUGCUGUGAGGCAUGCUGGAGGUAUCAGAAGUGCGAAUGCUGACAUAAGUAACGAUAAAGCGGGUGAAAAGCCCGCUCGCCGGAAGACCAAGGGUUCCUGUCCAACGUUAAUCGGGGCAGGGUGAGUCGACCCCUAAGGCGAGGCCGAAAGGCGUAGUCGAUGGGAAACAGGUUAAUAUUCCUGUACUUGGUGUUACUGCGAAGGGGGGACGGAGAAGGCUAUGUUAGCCGGGCGACGGUUGUCCCGGUUUAAGCAUGUAGGCUGGUUAUCCAGGCAAAUCCGGAUAAUCAAGGCUGAGGUGUGAUGACGAGGCACUACGGUGCUGAAGUAACAAAUGCCCUGCUUCCAGGAAAAGCCUCUAAGCAUCAGGUAACAUCAAAUCGUACCCCAAACCGACACAGGUGGUCAGGUAGAGAAUACCAAGGCGCUUGAGAGAACUCGGGUGAAGGAACUAGGCAAAAUGGUGCCGUAACUUCGGGAGAAGGCACGCUGGUGUGUAGGUGAAGUCCCUGCGGAUGGAGCUGAGACCAGUCGAAGAUACCAGCUGGCUGCAACUGUUUAUUAAAAACACAGCACUGUGCAAACACGAAAGUGGACGUAUACGGUGUGACGCCUGCCCGGUGCCGGAAGGUUAAUUGAUGGGGUUAUCCGUAAGGAGAAGCUCUUGAUCGAAGCCCCGGUAAACGGCGGCCGUAACUAUAACGGUCCUAAGGUAGCGAAAUUCCUUGUCGGGUAAGUUCCGACCUGCACGAAUGGCGUAAUGAUGGCCAGGCUGUCUCCACCCGAGACUCAGUGAAAUUGAACUCGCUGUGAAGAUGCAGUGUACCCGCGGCAAGACGGAAAGACCCCGUGAACCUUUACUAUAGCUUGACACUGAACAUUGAGCCUUGAUGUGUAGGAUAGGUGGGAGGCUUUGAAGCGUGGACGCCAGUCUGCGUGGAGCCAACCUUGAAAUACCACCCUUUAAUGUUUGAUGUUCUAACGUUGGCCCCUGACCGGGGUUGCGGACAGUGUCUGGUGGGUAGUUUGACUGGGGCGGUCUCCUCCCAAAGCGUAACGGAGGAGCACGAAGGUUAGCUAAUCCUGGUCGGACAUCAGGAGGUUAGUGCAAUGGCAUAAGCUAGCUUGACUGCGAGCGUGACGGCGCGAGCAGGUGCGAAAGCAGGUCAUAGUGAUCCGGUGGUUCUGAAUGGAAGGGCCAUCGCUCAACGGAUAAAAGGUACUCCGGGGAUAACAGGCUGAUACCGCCCAAGAGUUCAUAUCGACGGCGGUGUUUGGCACCUCGAUGUCGGCUCAUCACAUCCUGGGGCUGAAGUAGGUCCCAAGGGUAUGGCUGUUCGCCAUUUAAAGUGGUACGCGAGCUGGGUUUAGAACGUCGUGAGACAGUUCGGUCCCUAUCUGCCGUGGGCGCUGGAGAAUUGAGGGGGGCUGCUCCUAGUACGAGAGGACCGGAGUGGACGCAUCACUGGUGUUCGGGUUGUCAUGCCAAUGGCACUGCCCGGUAGCUAAAUGCGGAAGAGAUAAGUGCUGAAAGCAUCUAAGCACGAAACUUGCCCCGAGAUGAGUUCUCCCUGAGACUUUAAGUCUCCUGAAGGAACGUUAAAGACGAUGACGUUGAUAGGCCGGGUGUGUAAGCGCAGCGAUGCGUUGAGCUAACCGGUACUAAUGAACCGUGAGGCUUAACCUU
This 2902-nucleotide ribosomal RNA is filed under the name Klebsiella pneumoniae. RNAcentral describes it as "23S ribosomal RNA". It matches the Rfam family "Bacterial large subunit ribosomal RNA". RNAcentral also lists the same sequence under 1 other name. Lineage: Bacteria; Pseudomonadati; Pseudomonadota; Gammaproteobacteria; Enterobacterales; Enterobacteriaceae. The record is from RNAcentral.